UUUCUUUCUAUCCCCUAACCCAAUUUGCUCUAACCCAAUGAAUUUAUUUAUAAUAAAAAAUAAAGCUAAACUGUAGCUGAACAUUAUAUAUGAAUCACUUAUUCAUGUUCUUGAGCGUCAUGCUAUAAUGUCGUGUACAAACAUGGAAAGAAAAAACGUCCUUUAUUUUGUUUAAUUAAUAUGUGUUUUUGUGUGUGUGUUUAUCUGUAUACAAUGAUAGAU
This 222-nucleotide unclassified non-coding RNA is filed under the name Hevea brasiliensis (rubber tree). The record is from RNAcentral. Lineage: Eukaryota; Viridiplantae; Streptophyta; Magnoliopsida; Malpighiales; Euphorbiaceae.